GACGAACGCUGGCGGCGUGCCUAAUACAUGCAAGUAGAACGCUGAAGGAGGAGCUUGCUUCUCUGGAUGAGUUGCGAACGGGUGAGUAACGCGUAGGUAACCUGCCUGGUAGCGGGGGAUAACUAUUGGAAACGAUAGCUAAUACCGCAUAAGAGUAGAUGUUGCAUGACAUUUGCUUAAAAGGUGCAAUUGCAUCACUACCAGAUGGACCUGCGUUGUAUUAGCUAGUUGGUGGGGUAACGGCUUACCAAGGCGACGAUACAUAGCCGACCUGAGAGGGUGAUCGGCCACACUGGGACUGAGACACGGCCCAGACUCCUACGGGAGGCAGCAGUAGGGAAUCUUCGGCAAUGGACGGAAGUCUGUCCGAGCAACGCCGCGUGAGUGAAGAAGGUUUUCGGAUCGUAAAGCUCUGUUGUAAGAGAAGAACGAGUGUGAGAGUGGAAAGUUCACACUGUGACGGUAUCUUACCAGAAAGGGACGGCUAACUACGUG
Molecule: ribosomal RNA, 495 nt
Filed under: uncultured bacterium
Lineage: Bacteria
Description: partial 16S ribosomal RNA
Rfam family: Bacterial small subunit ribosomal RNA
Source: RNAcentral